CAUACUACACAUCGAUCGGGACCUUAGUCAUGUUGUGAUAUGGACAGCUUUCUUACCAGUACUCAUAAGCCUGCUUCAUUUUUUACGUGGCGGCACCACUGAGUGGUUGACGAAGUCUGGAACGUUUUUUCUUAGAGUUCCAGAAUUGAGACUGAAGUGUACCCAGAGACACAAAGAAAUACAGAAGUCCAGAAUGAUCAAAUGAGAUCACUACCCAAUGAAAUGAUGGGCCGAGGAGCCAGAAGUUGUCCUACUACCUGCUUUCCAGGUCCAGAUUCCACGAGAGCCUUCUGGGCUCCCACCAGAGACCCUCAGUGAAGACUCUGUUGAAGACUUUAAGACCAUGCUAGAAAGCCUCCCGGCAGAGGUUCAGGAAGUUCUGCUAUGAGGAUGCAGCUGGCCCCAGGGAUGUCCUCAGGCAUCUCUAGGACCUUGCUGGACGGUGGUGGCUGAGACCUGAUAUCCACACAAAGGAGCAGACUGUGGAAAUGCUGGUGCAGGAGCAAUUCCAGGCUGUCCUGCCCGAGGAGCUCAGAGCUCAAGCACAGAGAUGUCAGCCUGGAAUCAGAAUCACUGGCUAAGUCUUGCUGCUUGCUUCUUGCUCAGCCUGCAUAUGAGAAGUCAACCAAGCAUUCUCUUGGAUGCAAGAUCCAACUGCACCCAUGGGAAAUCUGAACUUCCACUUUCUUUGAGCUUGUCUUUGGUUGUAAUAAGAAUCCAUCAAAACCCAUGUCUGGAUCUCUCUUUGGCUGAGGCAGCUUUAUUUCCUACAGAAAGAGUUUCUCUGUCCUCUUGUUAGGACAAUCAGCCUGCUGCUUUGGGCUUUUCCAAGAGCCUAUUUUUCAUCUGCUGGAUGCCUCUUUUUUUUUUUUUUUUUUUUUUUGCACUGUGUGACAUGCUUUAAUAUAUAUAUUUUUUAUGUAUCCAAAGAGGUAAUCAACUUUAACUUUCAGAAUUCAUGAAUCUUGGUUUGGUGGCAUGAAUGAAAGGUUAUGUAACCCCACCAGUAACUCAUUUGGGGUGCCCUUGAAAUAUUAAAGUUUGGUCCUCAAUAAAUAUGUGCUGUGGUGAUUAAUCAGGUUAGCGCUUAGUAGUCAGCAAUUGGAGACAGGUGAGAUAAUUAUCAGG
RNAcentral lists this long non-coding RNA (1128 nucleotides) under Homo sapiens (human). RNAcentral's name for it is "HSALNT0290688". The record is from RNAcentral. Lineage: Eukaryota; Metazoa; Chordata; Mammalia; Primates; Hominidae.